This is a non-coding RNA of Acanthosepion pharaonis, 119 nucleotides long. The record is from the annotation of a GenBank genome assembly. NCBI's taxonomy places the organism in Eukaryota, Metazoa, Mollusca, Cephalopoda, Sepiida, Sepiidae.
UUACGGACAUAUCACGUUGGAACACCGGUUCCCUUACGAUACAAUUACCGAAGUUUACCAAUGUUGAGCCUGGUCAGUACCUAGAUGGGUGUUCCCUUGGGAAUACCAGGUGCUGUAAG